AUGGAACAGAUGGGGAUGGACAAGCACAUGCUUCUGGUUCAAGAGGCUCCUGCUUCACCUCAUGAUGCCUCGCCUGAGUUGGUCCUGUCUACUCCAACUCCAACCCCUGUGCGCCUGGAGGUGCUGCUUGAAGAAACCAACAGCGACAGCAUCACUCAUGUGUCAAACAGUUUUGAUGCUGAUGCCCAGACUGAAGAAGAGGCAGAUGAAGAGACAAGGACUGAAGAAGCUCCAGAGGAAGAGCCAAUAUCUGAAGAAGAUGCAGAAUCAGAAGCACCGGUCACUCCAAUAUUCAUCCCGCGCAUGCCCGCGCUGUUGCCGUCCCCCCCUACUCAGCGCUCGACACCUCCAAGACCCCCAACUGCUCGUAGGAAGACGCUAGCCGGGGUCUCUGGCUUCCACCUGCCGCGCCAGAGCCCCCGGCUCCGGGCCAAAAAGCGGAGCGUGCCCAUUGCCAGGCUCGCAGAGCAGCUGCUGUGCCGCCGUAUGGGGAUCGUUGCUGAGGGUGAACAAGCCACUGAGGCGGCUAUCACCAAGUUUGCUGAUAUGUUCCAGGACCGUCUCCCGGACAUUGCUGUUGCGGCUUUGCGCGCUUUAUUCCACAUGGACUGCGAUCUCUCCUCGGCGGUUGAAGACGCCCUCAUGCAGCAUGGAGGAGAAGGAGGGCCAGACCAAAACGAGGCCACCGCGGCGGGGCUGCCAUGUGUUGCUGCUUCUAUUUCUGGCCCUGGCGAGACCAUUGUUGCCUAUGAUGUUGGCAGACUCAUACCAGCUGAUGGCACAAAAGGCGGAAUAUUACUGCUAUGGGAUGAUUCUGCGGUUACCAUCUCCAAUAUUCAGAUUGGAGCUUACUACCUCUCAGCAACUGUUGAUGUCAACAACUCUCCUGAUGACAAGUCUUUUAAACUGACCACUGUUUAUGGACCAACCAGAUACAUCCAUAAAGAGGCUUUCUUCCUGGAGCUAACGUCCCAAAAGCCUAUCGACGGAACGAAGUGGCUGGUUAAUGGUGAUUUUAACCAAAUCUACCGAGCUAGAGACAAAAACCGUGCUAAUGUUGAUCGGGGUCGUCUUGUCCGAUUCCGCAACACCCUGAACACUUGCAAUCUCAAGGAGAUACACCUUCAAAACCGGAAGUUCACCUGGAGCAACGAGCGCGCUGACCCAACGCUCUGCAAAUUGGACGGCUUCUUCUGUAACGACGAGUGGGAUAUUGAUUUUGGCUCGCACAUUCUUCAUGCUCUCUCCUCCUCGCUGUCCGACCACUGUCCGUUAUUGCUUGCUAAUGAUGAUGGUCCGCGGCGGCCAAAAUCAUUUCGUUUCGAAAACCACUGGACCAAGAUGCCUGGUUUCCAGAAGGUGGUUGUUGAUGCUUGGAAUGAACAAUCUGUGCACUUGGAGCCCUACCAAAGGCUUUUUCACAAGCUCAAGACCACCGGUCGGAGACUUCGCACGUGGAGCAAGUCCCUCUUUGCAAAGUCAAAGAUUCAAAUGCACAUGGCCCUGGAGGCCACCGAACAAGGCAAGCUCCAACCUAUUGGAGGAGAUGUGAUGACUUUUCGAGCCUCCCUCUAUGCGGACGACGCUGCGGUCUUCCUUGCGCCAAUCAAGGAUGAUGUAAAUUUCUUUGUGGAAACACUGGCGAGCUUUGGGGAGGUCACUGGAUUGAUGACAAACUGCACUAAAAGCUUAGUCGCCCCCAUUCGCUGUGUGAGCCUUGACCUUGAUGAUAUCCUCCAUUCCUUCCCUGCGAACCGCUCCACCUUCCCUAUGAAAUAUUUGGGACUGCCGUUAUCGGUUAAGAGACUAAAGAGAAUCCACUUCCAGCCGCUCGAAGACAAGAUUGCUGCCCAACUCACUCCUUCGAUUGGCAUGCUCAUGGCCUCUUCGGGCAGGGUGGUUCUCGUCAAAUCUGUCCUCACAGCCAUCGCCAUAUACUACAUGACUGCACUUGAUCUGCCAGUGGAGGUUUUGAAGAAGAUUGACUCCCUUCGGCGUGCUUUCCUUUGGGCUGGCUGUGACAAGGUCACCGGUGGCAAAUGCAAGAUCAAUUGGGAACAAGUGUGUAAAUCCAAAGCUCAUGGCGGACUAGGCAUCCUAAAUCUACAGAAAUUUGCAUCUGCUCUCCGUUUACGUUGGCUCUGGGCGGAAUGGAUGGACCCGGCGAAGCCUUGGGUGCGGUUGGGGAACCCUUGCGAUAAGAGAGAUAAAGACAUCUUUGCGUCUGCCACCAAGGUCUUAAUUGGAGAUGGACUUCGUGCCUCCUUUUGGGAGUCUGCUUGGCUUGAUGGCAUCAGGCCCAAAGACAUCGCCCCAAUGAUUUUUGAAAUUUCAAAACGAAGGGGCUGCUCGGUGAACAAGGCUUUGCAAAACAACUUCUGGGUCUCCCAAAUCAACACUCGUGGCAUCUUCUCCGCUAACCAGCUCACUCAGUUCGUCAACCUUUGGGAAAAAAUUUCGGUUGUUCAACUCAACCCAGAUGGGGUCGACACUAUCUCAUGGAAGUUCACUAAUGAUGGUCUGUACACUGCGGCGUCGGCCUACAAAGCUCAGUUCUCUGGUCUGGUUGACACUAACAUGUUACAGUGGGUUUGGAAGAAUUGGGCUCCCCCCAAAUGCAAAUUUUUUGCCUGGUUGGUUAUCAACAAUAGGAUUUGGACGGCCGAUAGGCUCAAACGACGUGGAUGGCCUAAUUGUGAUCGUUGUCCUCUUUGUAAGCAGGUGCAAGAAUCCGCGGCGCACAUCCUCUUCCGGUGCCGCUACACUGUUCGAGUUUGGGGUAUAGUCAAAUCUUGGCUUGGCCUGGGGGAUGUGCAUCCUUCGGCUUGGGUGGUGAUGGAUUCGGUGAAGUCUUGGUGGAACCUGAUUGCAUCCAACACAUCGCAGUCGCGCCGGCCGAUGCUCUCUCUUAUGAUGCUAGUCUCAUGGGAAAUCUGA
This 2937-nucleotide ribosomal RNA is filed under the name Triticum aestivum (bread wheat). RNAcentral describes it as "partial small subunit ribosomal RNA". Lineage: Eukaryota; Viridiplantae; Streptophyta; Magnoliopsida; Poales; Poaceae. The record is from RNAcentral.